AUUGAACGCUGGCGGAAUGCUUUACACAUGCAAGUCGAACGGCAGCACGGACUUCGGGCUGGUGGCGAGUGGCGAACGGGUGAGUAAUGUAUCGGAACGUGCCCAGUCGUGGGGGAUAACGUAGUGAAAAUUACGCUAAUACCGCAUACGAUCUUUGGAUGAAAGCGGGGGAUCGCAAGACCUCGCGCGAUUGGAGCGGCCGAUAUCAGAGUAGGUAGGUGGUGGGGUAAAGGCCCACCAAGCCAACGAUCUGUAGCUGGUCUGAGAGGACGACCAGCCACACUGGAACUGAGACACGGUCCAGACUCCUACGGGAGGCAGCAGUGGGGAAUUUUGGACAAUGGGCGAAAGCCUGAUCCAGCCAUUCCGCGUGCAGGAUGAAGGCCCUCGGGUUGUAAACUGCUUUUGUACAGAACGAAAAGGUUUCUACUAAUACUAGGAGCUCAUGACGGUACUGUAAGAAUAAGCACCGGCUAACUACGUGCCAGCAGCCGCCGUAA
Molecule: ribosomal RNA, 500 nt
Filed under: uncultured bacterium
Lineage: Bacteria
Description: partial 16S ribosomal RNA
Rfam family: Bacterial small subunit ribosomal RNA
Source: RNAcentral